CUUUACACACCUGGCUGGUGUAUGGGCUUGGAAUUAUCUUGGUUUGGACACUGAGCUCGAAACAGGUCCAGGGGCUGCAGUGCUAUGGCUGCAAUAUCAUCCAGGGCCAGAGGUACGUGGACGUGGGCUGCUCCAACCCAGAGGUCAUCACCUGCACCCACUCACACAAAGGCUUCAAACACCGUUUCUGCAUCAAGACAGAGAGCACGGCCCUGGGUAUCGUCCUGACCAGCGGUUGUGCCACAUCCAGACACUGCCAGCAACACGAGCUGCCAGGGGUGCGCAUCCACUGCUGUGACUCAGACCUAUGUAACAGCGCCCCCGCAUGGCAUCCUUGCACAC
Molecule: non-coding RNA, 342 nt
Organism: Plectropomus leopardus (leopard coralgrouper)
Lineage: Eukaryota; Metazoa; Chordata; Actinopteri; Perciformes; Serranidae
Source: RefSeq, a predicted model, not a curated record